GCAGUCGUGGCCGAGUGGUUUUUGGCGAUGGACUAGAAAUCCAUUGGGGUCUCCCCACACAGGUUCGAAUCCUGUCGACUGCG
This 83-nucleotide transfer RNA is filed under the name Ixodes scapularis (black-legged tick). It matches the Rfam family "tRNA". From Rfam's summary of the family: Transfer RNA (tRNA) molecules are approximately 80 nucleotides in length. Their secondary structure includes four short double-helical elements and three loops (D, anti-codon, and T loops). Lineage: Eukaryota; Metazoa; Arthropoda; Arachnida; Ixodida; Ixodidae. The record is from Rfam by way of RNAcentral.